This 397-nucleotide ribosomal RNA is filed under the name uncultured bacterium. RNAcentral describes it as "partial 16S ribosomal RNA". It matches the Rfam family "Bacterial small subunit ribosomal RNA", at positions 523 to 918 of the family's 1533-position model. The record is from RNAcentral.
AUACGUAGGUGGCAAGCGUUGUCCGGAAUUAUUGGGCGUAAAGCGCGCGCAGGCGGUCCUUUAAGUCUGAUGUGAAAGCCCACGGCUCAACCGUGGAGGGUCAUUGGAAACUGGGGGACUUGAGUGCAGAAGAGGAAAGUGGAAUUCCAAGGGUAGCGGUGAAAUGCGUAGAGAUUUGGAGGAACACCAGUGGCGAAGGCGACUUUCUGGUCUGUAACUGACGCUGAGGCGCGAAAGCGUGGGGAGCAAACAGGAUUAGAUACCCUGGUAGUCCACGCCGUAAACGAUGAGUGCUAAGUGUUAGGGGGUUUCCGCCCCUUAGUGCUGCAGCUAACGCAUUAAGCACUCCGCCUGGGGAGUACGGUCGCAAGACUGAAACUCAAAUGAAUUGACGGGG